This 229-nucleotide ribosomal RNA is filed under the name uncultured bacterium. RNAcentral describes it as "partial 16S ribosomal RNA". It matches the Rfam family "Bacterial small subunit ribosomal RNA", at positions 568 to 796 of the family's 1533-position model. The record is from RNAcentral.
UACGUAGGCGGAAGAUUAAGUCAGUGGUGAAAUCCUGCAGCUUAACUGUAGAACUGUCAUUGAUACUGGUUUUCUUGAAUUUAGUUGAGGUAGGCGGAAUGUGUAAUGUAGCGGUGAAAUGCUUAGAUAUUACACAGAACACCGAUUGCGAAGGCAGCUUACUAAUCUAUGAUUGACGCUGAGGUACGAAAGCGUGGGGAGCGAACAGGAUUAGAUACCCUGGUAGUCC